Molecule: unclassified non-coding RNA, 253 nt
Filed under: uncultured Elusimicrobia bacterium
Lineage: Bacteria; Pseudomonadati; Elusimicrobiota; Elusimicrobia
Description: contains 16S-23S intergenic spacer region
Rfam family: Bacterial small subunit ribosomal RNA
Source: RNAcentral
UACGAAGGUGGCAAGCGUUACUCGGAAUGACUAGGCGUAAAGGGCAGGUAGGUGGUCUGUUUAGUCUGUUGUGAAAGCUCCCGGCUUAACUGGGAGAGGUCAACAGAUACUGGCAGGCUUGAGUAUAGGAGAGGGUACUGGAAUUCCCGGUGUAGCGGUGAAAUGCGCAGAUAUCGGGAGGAACACCAAUGGCGAAAGCAAGUACCUGGACUAUUACUGACACUCAGCUGCGAAAGCUAGGGGAGCAAACAGG